AUGCACUGCUAAGUGACCAGGCUGUCUCUUUUAUGACUUUUUGGUCUCAUUCCAGUGCAAGAUAAAUCCCCUUCUAGCAGAAGGGCCAGGCUUCCUUCCAAAGGCCUGGUUCUUUCGAAGGCUGGGUACAACU
Molecule: small nucleolar RNA, 133 nt
Filed under: Pogona vitticeps (central bearded dragon)
Lineage: Eukaryota; Metazoa; Chordata; Lepidosauria; Squamata; Agamidae
Source: RNAcentral